GGUAGGAAGCCGAAAGGUGACCGGACCCUUCGGGGAGCUUGCACAGGUGCUGCAUGGCUGUCGUCAGCUCGUGUCGUGAGAUGUUCGGUUAAGUCCGCUAACGAGCGCAACCCUCGCUGUGUGUUAUAUGUGUCACACGGGACUGCCGGUCUUAAGCCGGAGGAAGGUGGGGAUGAUGUCAAGUCAGCAUGGCCUUUAUAUCCUGGGCUACACACACGCUACAAUGGCCAACACAAUAGGUUGCUAAGCCGCGAGGUGGCGCCAAUCCAUAAAGUUGGUCUCAGUUCAGAUUGUAGGCUGCAACCCGCCUGCAUGAAGAUGGAGUUGCUAGUAACCGCAGGUCAGCUAUACUGCGGUGAAUACGUUCCCGGGGCUU
RNAcentral lists this ribosomal RNA (376 nucleotides) under uncultured Leptolinea sp. RNAcentral describes it as "bacterial SSU rRNA". It matches the Rfam family "Bacterial small subunit ribosomal RNA", at positions 992 to 1382 of the family's 1533-position model. Lineage: Bacteria; Bacillati; Chloroflexota; Anaerolineae; Anaerolineales; Anaerolineaceae. The record is from RNAcentral.